GAUGAAGAACGUAGCGAAAUGCGAUAAGUAAUGCGAAUUGCAGAAUUCAGUGAAUCAUCGAAUCUUUGAACGCACCUUGCGCCCUUUGGCCAUUCCGAAGGGCAUGCCUGUUUGAGUAUCAUGAACACCUCAACUCUUUAUGGUUUUCCAUGAUGAGCUUGGACUCUGGGGGUUUUGCUGGCUCACAGUCGGCUCCUCUAAAAUGAAUCAGCUUACCAGUGUUUGGUGGGUAUCAUGGGUGUGAUAACUAUCUACGCUUGUGGUUUUUCCACCAGGUAACCUUCAGCAGUGGAGGUUCGCUGGAGCUCAUAGAUGUCUCUCCUCAGUGAGGACAGCCCUUUGAAUGUUUGAUCUCAAAUCAGGUAGGACUACCCGCUGAACUUAAGCAUAUCAAUAAGCGGAGGA
RNAcentral lists this unclassified non-coding RNA (405 nucleotides) under soil metagenome. RNAcentral's name for it is "partial contains 5.8S ribosomal RNA, internal transcribed spacer 2, and large subunit ribosomal RNA". The stretch from base 1 to 121 matches the Rfam family "5.8S ribosomal RNA", at positions 35 to 154 of the family's 154-position model. The record is from RNAcentral.